AAUGCUUCCUGGCCUUUUGGCUAUGAUCAAGUGUAGUACCUGUUAACAUUUGUAAAUGCAAAAGAAAGCAAUUUAUGCUCCUCUCCGUGAGCAGAAAAUGCCCAUCCAUU
This is a non-coding RNA of Podarcis lilfordi (Lilford's wall lizard), 110 nucleotides long. NCBI's taxonomy places the organism in Eukaryota, Metazoa, Chordata, Lepidosauria, Squamata, Lacertidae. The record is from the annotation of a GenBank genome assembly.